ACAGGAUAUAUUACAGAGGGACAGAUAUACAUUGACAGGCAGCUUUACAAUAGACAGAUAUAUCCUCCAAUCAAUGUCCUCCCAUCUCUGUCUCGUCUGAUGAAGAGUGCCAUUGGUGAGGGGAUGACCCGCAGGGACCAUGCUGAUGUGUCCAACCAGCUAUAUGCAAAUUAUGCAAUUGGGAAGGAUGUCCAGGCAAUGAAAGC
Molecule: unclassified non-coding RNA, 206 nt
Filed under: Hevea brasiliensis (rubber tree)
Lineage: Eukaryota; Viridiplantae; Streptophyta; Magnoliopsida; Malpighiales; Euphorbiaceae
Source: RNAcentral